This 478-nucleotide ribosomal RNA is filed under the name uncultured bacterium. RNAcentral describes it as "partial 16S ribosomal RNA". It matches the Rfam family "Bacterial small subunit ribosomal RNA", at positions 28 to 523 of the family's 1533-position model. The record is from RNAcentral.
GACGAACGCUGGCGGCGUGCUUAACACAUGCAAGUCGAGCGAUGAAGCUCCUUCGGGAGUGGAUUAGCGGCGGACGGGUGAGUAACACGUGGGCAACCUGCCUUAUAGAGAGGAAUAGCCAUCCGAAAGGAUGAUUAAUACCUCAUAAUAUUGUAGUUUCGCAUGAAGCAACAAUCAAAGGAGCAAUCCACUAUAAGAUGGGCCCGCGGCGCAUUAGCUAGUUGGUGAGGUAACGGCUCACCAAGGCGACGAUGCGUAGCCGACCUGAGAGGGUGAUCGGCCACAUUGGGACUGAGACACGGCCCAGACUCCUACGGGAGGCAGCAGUGGGGAAUAUUGCACAAUGGGGGAAACCCUGAUGCAGAAACGCCGCGUGAGUGAUGACGGCCUUCGGGUUGUAAAGCUCUGUCUUCAGGGACGAUAAUGACGGUACCUGAGGAGGAAGCCACGGCUAACUACGUGCCAGCCGCCGCAAUAA